RNAcentral lists this ribosomal RNA (253 nucleotides) under uncultured bacterium. Its description in RNAcentral is "partial 16S ribosomal RNA". It matches the Rfam family "Bacterial small subunit ribosomal RNA", at positions 524 to 776 of the family's 1533-position model. The record is from RNAcentral.
UACAGAGGUCCCAAGCGCUGUUCGGAUUCACUGGGCGUAAAGGGUGCGUAGGUGGCGGGGUAAGUCGGAUGUGAAAGCUCGGAGCUCAACUCCGAAAUGGCAUUGGAAACUACCUUGCUCGAGGGUUGGAGGGGGGACUGGAAUGCUUGGUGUAGCAGUGAAAUGCGUAGAUAUCAAGCGGAACACCAGUGGCGAAGGCGAGUCCCUGGACAACUCCUGACACUGAGGCACGAAAGCUAGGGGAGCAAACAGG